Molecule: long non-coding RNA, 1334 nt
Organism: Rosa rugosa (rugosa rose)
Lineage: Eukaryota; Viridiplantae; Streptophyta; Magnoliopsida; Rosales; Rosaceae
Exons: 4
Source: RefSeq, a predicted model, not a curated record
UAUAUGAGUAUCCACUUAAAACUUGUUUGCCCACGCAGUCGAGGUUUUAGUUCUCAUCAUUUUCGUAUUUAUUUGUUUCUUCUGCAGUUAAUGACCUCAUGCUUUGGAUGCAUAUGAUAUACCAUAUCAUUAAAAGUAAGUCCAGGUUUCUCAGAUACCUUGCCUGGAACUUUCACACAAAAUUGUCUAGAAUAUUCGAGCUUGUUUCGUUAAUGUAGGAACUUUGAAGGGAAAGAGUCCAUGUUUCAAGUGCUAUUGCAAGCAACCAAUAAAGGUAUUGAUUCACUAUUCCUGGAGAUUAGUGAAGAUGUUCUUUUGUUUUCCAGCUUUGAGACACUAGUUGGAUAUGAAAAGGUGUUCCUCAUAUUUGUGAUGACAACAAUGGAAAUUCUUUAUGUUCUUAUCAGAAAGACCCCGGUGCAAAGUUUGGAUUCAUGCUUCAAAUUCAGCACAAAAUGAAUCAUUUAUUUCCAUCAUAUAUUUAAUGGCUUCAUUGAUUUGGAUGCAUAUGAUAUACCAUAUCAUUAAAAGUUAAAGGAGAUUGAUGAUCCUACAUAUCUAUGGUGAUUAUUUGUAUCUUGAUUAAGCACUGAGACUUCAAGAGAUCUAACAGAAAACUGGGAACCGACCUGGACAAGAAGAAGCUGAUUUCAGGCAGGCUAAAGUAUUUGUACCGUCCCAUAGACAACUGGUUCCUCGAAAUGGCAAGUUCUACCUAUCUCAUUGUUUCUUGCUUAAAGAGUUGAUAUCAUGGACCUGGACGUCAUGCUAAGAGUUUCAUGUUUAUUGACUUAUUGAGUCAUCAAUAUCUUUCUGCCUAUCUCGGUACCAUUGAUCAUGUGAUAUGUAUAUAGAAAUAGAUCAACACCAGGACACUUGGAAAAUAUGACUGCUUAUACAUAGCACUUACAACUUUGUUAAGGCAAUGUGAAUAAACUAUUGUCCUUCUGGAGCUCUGCUAAGUUUUGCAUGAUCUUCAGAAACCUACCAACAUGGAGAGGGAUUGUUAUCUACUCCGAGAUGGAAAUCAAUCCUCCCAUGUUGUUGGCAUGUCUCUCUCAGUCAAUGCGUAAGGUAGGUGUCCCAGGUUUUUGGCCAGGUGAUUUCAAGUUGAUGAUUUAAGCGCUCAUGUGACGUCGUACGAUAUUUUCGAGAGAUUCAGUAGCAAUCAAAUUUUGUUUUAUGGUAAUUAGCUUGUCAGAAGGUUUGAUAAUACACAACAAAUGAAUGCUCCUGCUGCUAUAAUGAGCUCAAUUUUGGUUGUUGUAGUGCUUAACAAAAUCUCCAAGGUUGUAUUCAAUUCAAAUUCGAUUGAUCUGUGCUUGGUUCCUUGC